RNAcentral lists this ribosomal RNA (253 nucleotides) under uncultured bacterium. Its description in RNAcentral is "partial 16S ribosomal RNA". It matches the Rfam family "Bacterial small subunit ribosomal RNA", at positions 524 to 776 of the family's 1533-position model. The record is from RNAcentral.
UACGAAGGGGGCUAGCGUUGCUCGGAAUCACUGGGCGUAAAGGGUGCGUAGGCGGGUCUUUAAGUCAGGGGUGAAAUCCUGGAGCUCAACUCCAGAACUGCCUUUGAUACUGAGGAUCUUGAGUACGGGAGAGGUGAGUGGAACUGCGAGUGUAGAGGUGAAAUUCGUAGAUAUUCGCAAGAACACCAGUGGCGAAGGCGGCUCACUGGCCCGUUACUGACGCUGAGGCGCGAAAGCGUGGGGAGCAAACAGG